CCAGACUCCUACGGGAGGCAGCAGUGGGGAAUAUUGGACAAUGGGGGGAACCCUGAUCCAGCGACGCCGCGUGAGUGAAGAAGUAUUUCGGUAUGUAAAGCUCUAUCAGCAGGGAAGAAAGAAAUGACGGUACCUGACUAAGAAGCCCCGGCUAACUACGUGCCAGCAGCCGCGGUAAUACGUAGGGGGCAAGCGUUAUCCGGAUUUACUGGGUGUAAAGGGAGCGCAGGCGGCGCGGUAAGUCUGAUGUGAAAGCCCGGGGCUCAACCCCGGGACUGCAUUGGAAACUGUCGUGCUGGAGUGUCGGAGGGGCAGGUGGAAUUCCUAGUGUAGCGGUGAAAUGCGUAGAUAUUAGGAGGAACACCAGUGGCGAAGGCGGCUUGCUGGACGACAACUGACGUUGAGGCUCGAAAGCGUGGGGAGCGAACAGGAUUAGAUACCCUUGUA
Molecule: ribosomal RNA, 447 nt
Filed under: uncultured bacterium
Lineage: Bacteria
Description: bacterial SSU rRNA
Rfam family: Bacterial small subunit ribosomal RNA
Source: RNAcentral